Molecule: small nucleolar RNA, 121 nt
Filed under: Camelus bactrianus (Bactrian camel)
Lineage: Eukaryota; Metazoa; Chordata; Mammalia; Artiodactyla; Camelidae
Also listed under: 1 other name
Description: Small nucleolar RNA SNORA11
Rfam family: Small nucleolar RNA SNORA11
About the family: U107 (SNORA11) is a member of the H/ACA class of snoRNAs that guide the sites of modification of uridines to pseudouridines.
Source: Rfam by way of RNAcentral
CCAGCAAGGGGCCUGAAUAAAUGGCUCCUCUGUUUACAACCCACCCAACAGGAAUCUGGGUUCAUUCACUGUGCCAAGGGGCACAAAACUUGGGGUCCUCCUAUGAACACACCCUACACAU